GUAGGGAAUUGUUCGCAAUGGGCGCAAGCCUGACGACGCAACGCCGCGUGGAGGAUGAAGGGCUUCGGCUCGUAAACUCCUUUCGACCGAGAUGAAUACCCGCAGGGCCAAUACCCUUGCGGACUGACAGUAUCGAGGGAAGAAGCCCCGGCUAACCCCGUGCCAGCAGCCGCGGUAAUACGGGGGGGGCAAGCGUUGUUCGGAAUUACUGGGCGUAAAGGGUUCGUAGGUGGUCAACUAAGUCAUGCGUGAAAUCCCUCAGCUUAACUGGGGAACUGCGUCUGAUACUGGUUGACUUGAGUGCAGGAGAGGAACGCGGAAUUCCAGGUGUAGCGGUGAAAUGCGUAGAUAUCUGGAGGAACACCGGUGGCGAAGGCGGCGUUCUGGACUGUAACUGACACUGAGGAACGAAAGCCAGGGGAGCAAA
RNAcentral lists this ribosomal RNA (427 nucleotides) under uncultured bacterium. RNAcentral describes it as "bacterial SSU rRNA". It matches the Rfam family "Bacterial small subunit ribosomal RNA", at positions 354 to 772 of the family's 1533-position model. The record is from RNAcentral.